UGAAGCGGUGAAUUUAAGCCCCAGUAAACGGCGGUGGUAACUAUAACCAUCCUAAGGUAGCGAAAUUCCUUGUCGGGUAAGUUCCGACCUGCACGAAUGGCGUAACGAUGGCGGCGCUGUCUCCACCCGAGACUCAGUGAAAUUGAAAUCGCUGUGAAGAUGCAGUGUAUCCGCGGCUAGACGGAAAGACCCCGUGAACCUUUACUAUAGCUUUGCACUGGACUUUGAAUUUGCUUGUGUAGGAUAGGUGGGAGGCUUUGAAGCGUGGACGCCAGUCUGCAUGGAGCCAACCUUGAAAUACCACCCUGGCAACUUUGAGGUUCUAACUCAGGUCCGUUAUCCGGAUCGAGGACAGUGUAUGGUGGGUAGUUUGACUGGGGCGGUCUCCUCCUAAAGAGUAACGGAGGAGUACGAAGGUGCGCUCAGACCGGUCGGAAAUCGGUCGUAGAGUAUAAAGGCAAAAGCGCGCUUGACUGCGAGACAGACACGUCGAGCAGGUACGAAAGUAGGUCUUAGUGAUCCGGUGGUUCUGUAUGGAAGGGCCAUCGCUCAACGGAUAAAAGGUACUCCGGGGAUAACAGGCUGAUACCGCCCAAGAGUUCAUAUCGACGGCGGUGUUUGGCACCUCGAUGUCGGCUCAUCACAUCCUGGGGCUGAAGCCGGUCCCAAGGGUAUGGCUGUUCGCCAUUUAAAGUGGUACGCGAGCUGGGUUUAGAACGUCGUGAGACAGUUCGGUCCCUAUCUGCCGUGGGCGCUGGAGAAUUGAGGGGGGUUGCUCCUAGUACGAGAGGACCGGAGUGGACGAACCUCUGGUGUUCCGGUUGUCACGCCAGUGGCAUUGCCGGGUAGCUAUGUUCG
This 858-nucleotide ribosomal RNA is filed under the name Prorocentrum minimum. Its description in RNAcentral is "partial Bacterial large subunit ribosomal RNA". It matches the Rfam family "Bacterial large subunit ribosomal RNA", at positions 1900 to 2757 of the family's 2925-position model. Lineage: Eukaryota; Dinophyceae; Prorocentrales; Prorocentraceae. The record is from RNAcentral.